GAAAGCAAACAGAAGCUUUAUUAGGUCUUCUUGAAGGCUGCAACAUUCCUGAAAGUAAUGUUGUUAUCCAUGGAGACGCUAUUACUUGGACAUGCUAUCCCUCUCAUCUAGCCAGGGAAGAAAAAGCAAUUAAGGUAGCUCCUGUGUAGGAUGGGAACUGGAGCAAUACUGCAAGCUGGCAAGAGCCAGACAAGGGAGGUUUUUGAGGGGUUUCUAUAUAUCCUAAAAAAGCUUUGGAAUGUUUUUUUCCUGUUGUCACUCCAGAUGAGUGCUUUAGCUCUUGAAUUUUCCACAGUGAUAGAGAGAUAUCACUGUGAUAGGAGUGAUAGGAGAACCAGACUAGGUCAGUUGAAGAAGGCUAGAUGGAUAUUGCACAGUUUGAAGUCUGAAAGUCUGAAGUCUUUUUUUUUUUUUUUGUAAUAGGAAAAGUUUCAAACAAACCAUUGGGAUUUUAAACUUGUCUGUGAGAUUUCUUUAAAAAUGUGCAUAUAAUUAACUCCAGGAACUCUUUUGCUGAUCUAGCAUUUUCUUGUUAGGAAAACCCAUCAUCAAAUUCCCAAAUAGCCCUGUGAAAGCUGCACCCCACCAGCUUCUAAGUGUGUGCUCUGUAUUGAGGGCUUGAGCAGGACCACAUUGGAGCCAGCUGAGCUGUUGGAAUCUGCCCAAAUCAAGUCCUCAGCCUAUGGGAUACUGGGUAAAUGACCUAGAGGACCAGGAGCCUUGGAGGGCCCUGUUGUGGAUGAGGAUACUGCUGACACAUCUCUGUAUACCAGAAAUGAGCGAAUGGUGAAAGGAAUGAAAGUUCCUGUGUCUUUUCAUAAAAUAAGGGAAAAAAAAACCCCAAAUCCUGUUAUGCUUCUGGCUUUAUUUACUGAUUUACUGAGGCAAUUCAGAAGUAUGUGUACAAUGAAUAGAACUUCCUGUCUUGCAAAUUUCCAUGGGAGGGGCUGGCUCAAGUGACUUUUUCCUAGGCUUCCUUGAAGCCUCGAAAAACUUCGCUAGACAAGCAGUGGUCUGUGGCAUCUGCCCUAACCAGACUGCAGCAAGAGUGGGCAGAGAGCUGACAGAGCCUGGCUUUAGGCCUGGAUGCCUUUAGUUUUAAAGGAUUCUGUGACACACACUGUGCUACCUUUCCCAGUUACAGGGAGCAUUACUUAGGCUGGCUGGGGAGACUGCAGCCAUAGGAGAUGUUUGCUCAUGCAACAGCUUCACUAACUUCUUGGUCUAAAGCAUAAAAGUGGAUCAUGCUCACUCCAAUUACUGCUGAAGAUGAUGCUCUGCACUAGAAAAGUGGAAUAAUUACAUCAUCAAGUUACUGUGUGUCAACUGCAGGGUGAUGGUUUUCUUGAAGAAAAGAUCAGUGGCCAGCAUAGCUUGGAAAAUAAGGUAUUAAAGCCAGAAAAGAGCUCAUCAAGCCGCAGCCACUGCCUACGUGGACAAAGCAACCAGCUGGGUACUUGGACAAAGGAAAAGGAGGCAAUAUGGCCAGUCAAGGUCAGAGCACAAUCACUGCAGAGACUAAAUGCUCCAGUGGAUCAGAAAGGCAAGGUAAAGUUCCUUAAAAAAACAGUGCUAUUAAAAGGGCUGUGUGGCAGCUGCCUGACUUAACCAUUUUGACAGCAGUUGCCAAUAGAGAACAGCA
Cyanistes caeruleus (blue tit) is the source of this 1642-nucleotide non-coding RNA. The record is from RefSeq and is a predicted model, not a curated record. Lineage: Eukaryota; Metazoa; Chordata; Aves; Passeriformes; Paridae.